Molecule: long non-coding RNA, 727 nt
Organism: Micropterus dolomieu (smallmouth bass)
Lineage: Eukaryota; Metazoa; Chordata; Actinopteri; Centrarchiformes; Centrarchidae
Exons: 2
Source: RefSeq, a predicted model, not a curated record
GCUGGGUGCCACUCGCCAGAAAACGUAACAAAGAAGAAGAAAGAAUUAAGCAACAAUGUCUUCAGUUGAGUCUCUGAGAGAGUUUGUCAGCGAGCGACUAACUGCAGCUGCUGAGGAAAUAUUCGGGGUUUUCUUUAGAAAAACUAUCGUCCAGUACGAGGAAGAGAUCAAUCGUCAGCGCAGACUGCUGGAUAUGGUUUGUAAACCUGAAAUAAAGUUACAGAGGGUAGAUCUCCCACAGCAACUGUACAGCGCAGAACCACAGAAGAAAUGUAACAAAAAAAAGAAGUCACAUAAAUAAUGUAUAAGACUGUACCAGGUCAGAUUUUAACUGCAAUACUCGCAAAGGUAAAAAAAAAAAAAAAAAAAAAAAAAGUGAUCACUUGACGGUGCACAUGAGAAGACUUCAUACAGGUGAGAAGCAGUGCCUUUGCAAGACCUGCGGGAAAUAAUUCUGCACCAUGUAUGCAUUGAAUAGAAUCCACACACAUAAACUGGUAUACAGCGCUGACCUGUGCACAUAGUGUACAUUUUAAUAGACUAUAUUUCAGUUUUCAGAUGAGUCUGAAAAAGUGGUUGUUAGGAAAGGAUGUUGGUGACCAUGGAGCAGCUGUGGUUAGUAAAGAAAAAUUAGGGAGCAAAGUCUGUUUCACCUGAGGAAAUGUUUCUUUGGAUUUUCUUAAAAUGUAUCUGACAAAAGAUCAAAUAAAACUGGGCUUCAACCUUG